CUAGGCUCGGAUAUAAUUACUCUGUGUGGAUUGCGGAUGGCGGGUUGAUAACUAAGAAGUCUAGGGGUUCUUUUGUGAAUCUCGUUUGACGAAAGGGUAUAGGCAAUUCUCCAUCGUUGGAUCCACAACCAAGCGCCCAGAUUAGACCGAGAACUCCAAUGAACGGGUACACAACCACCACCGAGGGAUAAAGAUCCAACGGUGCAGAUUUCAUCCUGCCCUAACUAACCUCAACCACCCGAUCUGGAUCCAACAGUCGCAGGCGAAACGUUAUCUAGAUCAAAUCUCCAUCGCCCACGACGCAUUCAACGACGGGUGAGUGUCUCCUUUCUCUGUCACCUGACUGCGGAAACCAGGACGCGUACCAUGGCGGCGGGUCGCUGGCGCGCACAGGCCCCCGGCCCCUGGUGACCGAACGAUAGUGCUAAAGGAUACUACGCGAAGCGGGUAAUAGCGUGAACAUCAUGGUGGAUGGCUUACCAGUAAUCCAGACGCAGUGACGUAGCACCCGGAUCCGCGGAGACGAUAAACAAGAACGCCCGAACGCCGUCGUGCUUAAGGAGUGCCGCGCCGACGACGUGAGCGACAGCCGAUCCUGGCUGGGGCACAAAUUGAGCAGAGGCUUACGGCCAUAGCAGAUGAGUCCCAAGCGAAAAUCGCCCGCGGCAGAUGAAGUUCUCCGACGCUGUGAGCUCGAUGCCCGUGCCUGGCGGACCAGCUCCCGCGCACGAUUGAUGGCACGGGAUAGUCCUACGGAGUUGCGCACACCUCCCUGGCUCAAUUCCGGUACCCAGACAACGUCGUGGUGGCGUUACUAUGGCACGGCGACGACGACGAUUGCGAAGUCGGGGUAACGAGGAGCGGAGGCUGGGUCUUAUAGCCCUGAGCAAGGAGCUCGGGUACCCGAGGUACGCUU
RNAcentral lists this long non-coding RNA (916 nucleotides) under Zea mays. RNAcentral describes it as "drought responsive lncRNA". The record is from RNAcentral. Lineage: Eukaryota; Viridiplantae; Streptophyta; Magnoliopsida; Poales; Poaceae.